GGGAGAGGUGCAUGCGUGCUUUGCACGUCCGGCGAAGCGGGAGAGCCCGCUCAACAACCUAGCGGUAGACUAAGGGAUAGUAGAGAGACUGAAGCCGAGGAGUCGCGUUCUGGGAUUUUCAAGAGCCCCAAUGCACCAACUGCAGGCAGUCCUCCAGAAGUCGAGAAAGCUCCAGUGGACAAAUCACAGUACAAGAGGGAGAAAACCAACACCGUGUGGCCACCAGGAUAACAUCCAGUCCGCAAAAAUCCUAUGUGUUAUCAUUGCCAGAAGUGAACUACCUUGAUCAGACCCGAUGCAAAGCAGAUUUCUACCCAAAUUAGAAUGAAAAGCCAGGGGCUGACAACGGAAUGUAUACUGCUAAAUCUGACGUUACAUCUCAGUCGCAAUAGCCCAGGGCUAGGCGCAAGAGGGUGUUCUUUCUGUUGCUGCUACUCAUAUGUCCUUGAGUCCUUACCAAGAAAUUUUUGUGUGUGAUCUUGUUUAAGCACUGAAACAUUCUAUUGUUUCCCUCCAUUUUUUAUUCAACAUGGCUAGAAAAAUUAAACGCCAGCCUUAAAAAAAAUAUUUCCAAAUUGUAGACAGAACCCUCACAACUAACCACUAUGCUGCACUGUGCCUCAAUAAAUAUGUGUUAAGUGAAGGAAUAAAUUUCACAUCAUAGUGCAUGAAUAAUAAGCAAAGGAGAGCUGUAUUUUUAACAUAAGGUGAAAAUAUGCCAGCAGCCCAGAAACGUUGUUGAAAAUAACAGGAUUGCAGCAGGCUCCGAAGGAAAGGAUUCUUCAUGAGGCUGAGGCUCCAGGAGAAUGUAGCCAGGCCCUAGUCCUCCCACACUCAGAACACAGAAUGGGGACAUUGGAAGAGCUGGAGUGUUUUCAUCUCCCUCCGUUCUCUUGGCACUUCAAAUGAACACCUACUCAGAUUUCCAGCUGGCGAAGAACAACAUGGGACAUUUCUAUAGGAAAUGCCAGUGCUGUAUGACUUACCUCACUGGAAGAAUGCAAACAGCCUCGGAGAUUUCCACAGAAAUGCUGCCUGCCAUGUAGGAUUUGAGGAACUUGGCACAGCCGGUUUUACCAGGUAUGGAAACUGGGGCCUGGUACACCUUCUGCAUACAAGCCAGAGGUGAGAACUCAGGAUGAAGCAAGCAGUUGUUGCUCUGUCUUCUAGCCACGCUCCCCUCCCACCCCCCACUCCCCAGCUCUUUCACACCAAAGAUGUUGCCAAGCGAUUUAACAUAUGGAACAUGCGAGGAACGCAUCAAAUUCCCACAGCCGCUAAGUACAAGUUAUGACUACCCUGGCUUUCUCGUAGUAAAGCGCGUCAUUUUCUGCUCCACGGACUAGAACUCAUCGCCAAGAACAACUUCCAACAUUUUUCCCCUUGCUACAUGGAUUGAACCAAUUUUAAAAACCAGAUGGUGUUUUUGCCGUUUAUAACUGAUAAUCAAUUGUUUUGUGAAUUUAAUUUUUUUCAAGAAAGAACUGAAAUACUUAUCAGAAUUACAAUCUGGGUGCGACUUGCGUUAGAAUAAACUUGCCAGAAGCACCAGGA
Molecule: long non-coding RNA, 1554 nt
Organism: Alexandromys fortis (reed vole)
Lineage: Eukaryota; Metazoa; Chordata; Mammalia; Rodentia; Cricetidae
Exons: 2
Source: RefSeq, a predicted model, not a curated record